RNAcentral lists this long non-coding RNA (866 nucleotides) under Capsicum annuum. RNAcentral describes it as "long non-coding RNA (CANN_LNC009354)". The record is from RNAcentral. Lineage: Eukaryota; Viridiplantae; Streptophyta; Magnoliopsida; Solanales; Solanaceae.
CUGCAUAUUAAAAAUAAACUAAACAAAAAACAUGAAAAAAAACUAUGAUAGAAAAUCUCUCCAUAAACAAAACUCUUUAAGGACUACAUUGUGGAUGCUAGUGUGUUAUGGUAUGAGAAGGGGGUCUGCUAUUUAUAGAUGUCCAAAACUUUUUCUCCAAGAAAGAGGUUAGUCAAAUAUGAAAAAAAAAUAUAUUUUUUUCUUUCAGAAAAAAUAAAAGUAAUUAUGGUAACUUUUAUUUUCCUUCUAAAAAAAAAAUAAAACUUAAAUAUAGUAAGAAAAUCAGGGCAAAAACCCUAACAAAUCUCCCCUUUUUAGCUUGAUUUUCUUCACUUGAUCCGUCUUCUCUUCAUAUCACGUGCAUGAACUUCGUUCUUGAUAUAAUCUUCAUAACUGCUGCCGCCAUGGUUAAAAAUAAGGUUUAAAAUAUCAUGGUUAAAAAUUAGUUUAAAAGUAAUAUUUUAUUUUUAUUUUUAAAGAUGCAACAGCAGGCGUGUUGAAAAUAUGGUUGAAACUUGUUCUCCACACGUAGUUCGACAAAAAUCUUCAUUAUCGCCCAAAUGCUGCAGCUUGAUUUUAAAACCACUUUGAACCUGUUUAAUCUCGUCUCAUCACACUAUUAGACCAUUGAACUGUAAGCUCUGAUAACACUUGUUGGGUUCAAAAUUGAGAGGGCGUCAUGCGGAAGCUUAAAUUUUGCAAACCAUAAAGGUGAUAAAUCAGAUGAAACAAAAAUAUACUAAAAACAUUUUAUUAGAUAUGAUUUGGUCAAUUGACCUACAUAUUAAAAAUAAACUAAAUCAAAAUCAUAAAAAAAAAAUUAUGAGAGAAAAUCUCUCCAUAAACAAAACUCUUUAAAGACUACA